This 1156-nucleotide long non-coding RNA is filed under the name Felis catus (domestic cat). RNAcentral describes it as "lncRNA (ENSFCAG00000047359.1)". The record is from RNAcentral. Lineage: Eukaryota; Metazoa; Chordata; Mammalia; Carnivora; Felidae.
GUAGCCCGGAGGGAAAGGGCAGAAUCCUUCACUCCCAAAGGCUUGGUGCCCUGUUGCGAGAGGGAACGGGCUGACGGGAGUAUUUCUCUUCCUAAGGCUGGCAAAUUCUCAGCCCCUACACUGACCCUUGCAAGUUCCUUCGCCAUCAUUUCGUGGGUGUUGCUUUAUGUUUGCAUUUGGACUUGACUCAUUUUCCCCCCUUUCAUGGCCCUGUAUUGUUCCUCCUUUCGGAAGAUAGUAAUUGCAUAGCUGCUUUACUGGACCCCUCCAAGCCGGCAGGGUUCAUUAGAGAUUUCUAGAUUAAGAGCCGUGACGCUGGACCUCAGGUCCUGGAGGUCCCGGAGGACAGUCCAGUGAAGGGUCACUGCAGCCUGGGGCUCUAAGUAGCCCAGAGCAGACACCAAGGCAGGCCCUGUUCUGAUGCUCUGGGAGCACUAACUUACGCCAUCCUCAUGGUGACUUUGGGAGGGAGGUGCCAUUAUUACACCAUUUGACAGAAGGUGAAGCUGGGGCCCAGAGAGGGUAAGCAACUUGCUUAAGAUGACUCAUGAAGUCCAUGGCUGAGCCAGGAUUUGAACCCUGGCAGCAUGGCACCACCACAGCCUGUGCACAACCUCUAAAUUUCCCUGACUUUCUGGAACAGACAGCGAGCCUGGUAGUAUUCCAGGAGGAAUCUCAAACCCUCAUUCUUUGUGAAGUCCAUGUGACCAUCAAAUCAGGAGGCUGUUUCUCUGUGGGCAGUUCUGAGAAUCAAGAUUGUUCAUCUCUGCAUGUGUUGUACCCCUGAAGGAAUGGGAUCGUGAGUAACAUGCAUCCUUCCCACCAAGCAGCGCAUUGGAGUUGAUAGCUAAGUGUCCGUGCAUUAGUCAGCUUGCCCUUAGCUAGAGCUCUGGUAUCACACGGUGGUAAGCUGGACACAUAAUUAAAAGUUUGGAAAUACAGUUAAGCAUAAAUUUACUUACAACCCUACCAUCCAGAGGUAACUGCUGUUAGUAUUUUAAUAUAUUUCAUUUUAACCUUCUUUGAUCUAUGUCUCUGUUUACUUGAUUUGUAACAUUCUAUGUGCAAAGUUUUGCCCCCCAUGCUUCCCCAUGCCAUUAAACAUUUUGAAAAUAUAAUUUAAGUGACUGUACUAUUCCAUCAUAUUGAUAAGCCG